GCUGGGCAUGGUGGCGCAUGCCUGUAAUCCCAGCUACUCAGGAGGCUGAGGCAGGAGAAUUGCUUGUACCCAGGAGUUGGAGGUUGCAGUGAGCUGAGAUUGCGCCAUUGCACUCCAGCCUGGGCGACAGAGCAAGACUCUGUCUCCA
Unclassified non-coding RNA from Papio anubis (olive baboon), 148 nucleotides. It matches the Rfam family "Metazoan signal recognition particle RNA". From Rfam's summary of the family: The signal recognition particle (SRP) is a universally conserved ribonucleoprotein. It is involved in the co-translational targeting of proteins to membranes. The record is from Ensembl. NCBI's taxonomy places the organism in Eukaryota, Metazoa, Chordata, Mammalia, Primates, Cercopithecidae.